RNAcentral lists this ribosomal RNA (1389 nucleotides) under uncultured prokaryote. RNAcentral's name for it is "partial 16S ribosomal RNA". It matches the Rfam family "Bacterial small subunit ribosomal RNA". The record is from RNAcentral.
CGCUAGCGGCAGGCUUAACACAUGCAAGUCGAGGGGUAACAGAAUAGCUUGCUAUUGCUGACAACCGGCGAACGGGUGCGUAACGCGUAUGCAAUCUACCCUUUUCUGGAAGAUAGCCCUUAGAAAUGAGGAUUAAUAUUCCAUAAUAUUGCGAAGAGACAUCUCUUUGUUCUUAAAGCUUCGGCGGUUAGGGAUAGGCAUGCGUUCUAUUAGUUAGUUGGUGAGGUAAUGGCUCACCAAGACUUCGAUAGAUAGGGGGCCUGAGAGGGUUAUCCCCCACACUGGUACUGAGACACGGACCAGACUCCUACGGGAGGCAGCAGUGAGGAAUAUUGCACAAUGGACGAAAGUCUGAUGCAGCCAUGCCGCGUGCAGGAUGAAUGCCCUACGGGUUGUAAACUGCUUUUAUAUAGGAAGAAACCCCUCUACGUGUAGAGGGCUGACGGUACUAUAAGAAUAAGGACCGGCUAACUCCGUGCCAGCAGCCGCGGUAAUACGGAGGGUCCAAGCGUUAUCCGGAUUUAUUGGGUUUAAAGGGUCCGUAGGCGGGAAAAUAAGUCAGUGGUGAAAGCCUGCAGCUCAACUGCAGAACUGCCAUUGAAACUGUUUUUCUUGAGUAUAGAUGAAGUGGGCGGAAUGUAUCAUGUAGCGGUGAAAUGCAUAGAUAUGAUACAGAACACCGAUUGCGAAGGCAGCUUACUAAACUAUCACUGACGCUGAUGAACGAAAGCGUGGGGAGCGAACAGGAUUAGAUACCCUGGUAGUCCACGCCGUAAACGAUGAUAACUCGUUGGUGGCGAUAUACAGUCACUGACCAAGCGAAAGUAUUAAGUUAUCCACCUGGGGAGUACGCCGGCAACGGUGAAACUCAAAGGAAUUGACGGGGGCCCGCACAAGCGGUGGAGCAUGUGGUUUAAUUCGAUGAUACGCGAGGAACCUUACCAGGGCUUAAAUGUAGGACGACAGGCUCGGAAACGAGCCCUUCUUCGGACGUCCUACAAGGUGCUGCAUGGUUGUCGUCAGCUCGUGCCGUGAGGUGUCGGGUUAAGUCCCAUAACGAGCGCAACCCCUAUUCUUAGUUGCCAGCGAGUCGGCCGGGGACUCUAAGAAAACUGCCAGCGUAAGCUGUGAGGAAGGUGGGGAUGACGUCAAGUCAGCACGGCCCUUACGUCCAGGGCUACACACGUGUUACAAUGGCCGGGACAGAGGGCAGCUACUCCGCGAGGAGGCGCAAAUCCACAAACACUAUCUCAGUUCGGAUCGAAGUCUGCAACUCGACUUCAUGAAGCUGGAAUCGCUAGUAAUCGCGCAUCAGCCAUGGCGCGGUGAAUACGUUCCCGGGCCUUGUACACACCGCCCGUCAAACAAUGGAAGCCGGGGGUACCUGAA